GACUCACUGAGGCUCUAUCGCAGCAGGUUCAAUCCUGGAUAACUCACAGCAGUGCUUUUGUUCCAUUCCUUUGCAAUGAGUAAUUCAAGUUGAUUAUCUGUCAUUUGCAACAGUGAAUGAUGAGCCUAACACUGGAAUAACAUUAUAAGAUUCAAAUACUGAACUCCUGGCAUCUCAUCAGGACAUUCCAUUUGACUUUACCUGGAAAUGGAGGAACGCUUGCAAAGAGAAAAUGGAACCUGUGCAUCAGAACACCGGCUCAGAAGCAGAUCAAGGAUGAGUACUUUGAGAAACACAGGUACCUUUAAGUAUUCCAUAUCAAUGACAGAAUCACUGGCUGCCCGGAGCAGAGAGGGCCACUGUGGAGCUGUCACUUCUUCAAUCACUUGUGUUUCAACUUUGAUUCAUUCCUACACUCACCAGUGGGGAGUUGUGAAGUGUGCUGCCUUCUUAUCUGCACAAAUUAAAAUGGAUCCUGCAGCAUGGAAAGGAGAAGGAAGAAAUGUUAGAAGAGAAAAGGGAACUCGCCCAGCAUGGAUUCAAAGGCAGUGGCAGAAGAUGUCGAGUGAAGAUAUGUUUGACUAUUUGACGUACAGAGCAAAAGGAUCCACUUGA
This 615-nucleotide long non-coding RNA is filed under the name Canis lupus familiaris (dog). Its description in RNAcentral is "lncRNA (ENSCAFG00040004871.1)". The record is from RNAcentral. Lineage: Eukaryota; Metazoa; Chordata; Mammalia; Carnivora; Canidae.